GGAGUCAUGUGUCACAGGAGCUCGAGA
RNAcentral lists this non-coding RNA (27 nucleotides) under Homo sapiens (human). The record is from RNAcentral. Lineage: Eukaryota; Metazoa; Chordata; Mammalia; Primates; Hominidae.